CCUUUGGGAGUUAAGUCAUGAGGGUGUAGCCCUCAUGAAUGGGAUUAGUACUCUUAGAGAAAAGGGACCCCAGAGAGGUCUCUUUCCACCAUGUAAGGAUAAAAGUACAAGGAGAAGAUGGUAGUCUGCAAACUGGAAAAGGGCCCUCCUCAGAACCUGACCAUCUUGGCACCUUGAUCUCAGACUUCCAUCUUCCAGAACUGUGGGAAAUAAAUUUCUUUUAUAAACACUCAGUCAAUGCUACUUUAUUAUAGCAGCCUGAAUGGAUUAAGACAGGUGGUCUGGUUUAAAGUGAUGUGUUGGCAUCAGAAGUUUAAGGAAAGACUGGAUUCACAGAACCAGAAUCUGGGAUGCUGUUUACAGAGCAAGUAUUUCCUGCAUUUGGACACUGUCGGCAGGUCGAUUCAGGAGACAGACGAAAACUUUAUCACCGGGCAGCCUGGAUGAACACCACAACUUUGAGAUCUUUCACUUAAAGGAAAGAUAAGGGCAUCCACUAUUUCUACACCUGCCUGGCAGAGUGAGAACUCACCAAGGAGAUGGUGACAAAAGAAGAGUAAAUGAACAAUGUCAGAAUCAAAAGAUACUCUGCCUGCACUUACAAAUUCAUAGACUAUUACUACUGAAGACAAGUUAAGAGAUUGUGUCCUCCAAACUCAUCAUUUUUCAGCAUUAUUAUUUUAGAAGAGAGGUCUAGAUCAACCGCUUUAAAAUGACACCAACAGAAGGGCAGUGAAGAAGGCAUUCUCGGAGGCUGCACAUUUCUGGAAGACAGCAUGACAGUAUGCCUCAAGUGCAAACAGUUUAUCCAUCUAUACAUAAUGAAACUAAAGAAGAUAAAGCUGUUUGUUCCUUGGGACAGUCUAAGAAUAAAUAAAAGACAAAAAAUUUUUCAAAAGGAAGAAA
Long non-coding RNA from Cercocebus atys (sooty mangabey), 906 nucleotides. RefSeq lists it as uncharacterized. The transcript has 5 exons. NCBI's taxonomy places the organism in Eukaryota, Metazoa, Chordata, Mammalia, Primates, Cercopithecidae. The record is from RefSeq and is a predicted model, not a curated record.